Molecule: ribosomal RNA, 738 nt
Filed under: Triticum aestivum (bread wheat)
Lineage: Eukaryota; Viridiplantae; Streptophyta; Magnoliopsida; Poales; Poaceae
Description: partial small subunit ribosomal RNA
Source: RNAcentral
AUGAAAGCUGUGCUUCCCUACCACCAUGUCAACAAGUUGGAGGAGGAGGAUGCCUGGUCAUUGCUCAAGAAACAGAUAAUCUUAAGUGAAACAGAUGAACGUGAAAUUGAUAUGCUCAAGGAUAUUGGAGUGCAGAUUAUAGCAAAAUGUGAUGGUCUGCCUCUUGCUGUCAAAAUAAUGGGAGGGCUCUUGUGUCAGAAGGACAAAAAACACCAUGAGUGGGAGAUGGUUCUGGAUGAUUCUAUAUGGUCAAUAUCUGGACUGCCUGAAGAGCUAAACCAUGCAGUAUAUUUAAGCUAUGAAGAUUUAUCUUCUUGUGCCAAACAAUGCUUUCUGCAUUACUCUCUUCUACCUAAAACUGCAGUGUUUUAUAGAGAUGAAAUCAUUGGCAUGUGGGUUAGUGAAGGAUUUGUUCAUGGGGACUCUGAUGACUUAGAAGAACUAGGAAACAAGUACUAUAAGGAGCUGAUACUGAGGAAUCUUGUGGAGCCAAAUACACAAUAUGUUGAUCAGUGUGUCUGCAACAUGCAUGAUGUUGUACGCUCAUUUGCUCAGUUUGUGGCUAGAAAUGAGGCACUAGCAACUUGCAGUGGAGAAACUAAUAUUGUUAGUAAACUUAGUGCACAUGAGUUUCUUCAAAUAUCUUUAGAAAGCAAAGGAUCAGAAUCAGAUGGUUUAGACUGGAGUUCUUUGCAAGCACAAUGUACACUAAGGGUGCUAAGUUCAGUUGGCUUAUAA